RNAcentral lists this ribosomal RNA (911 nucleotides) under Pseudacidovorax intermedius. RNAcentral describes it as "bacterial SSU rRNA". It matches the Rfam family "Bacterial small subunit ribosomal RNA", at positions 480 to 1397 of the family's 1533-position model. The record is from RNAcentral. Lineage: Bacteria; Pseudomonadati; Pseudomonadota; Betaproteobacteria; Burkholderiales; Comamonadaceae.
UGUAAGAUNAGCNCUGGAUAUCUACGUGCCUGCAGCCGCGUUAAUGGUAGGGAGCUAGUGUUAAUNGGAUUGAUUGAGCGUAAAGCGUGCGCAGCUGGUGAUGUAAGCCANAGGUGAAAUCGAGGGUCUNCCCUUGGGAAGUGCUUCUGUGACUGUAUCGUUGGAGUGCGACAGAGGUGGAUGAAAUUCCUCGUGUAGCAGUGACAUGCGUAGAUAUGCGGAGGAUCACCGAUGAGGAAGUCNAUCCCUGGGGCCUGCACUGACGUUCAUGCAUGAGAGCGUGGGGAGCAACCAGGAUUAGAUUCCCUGGUAGUCCACGCCCUAAACGAUGUCAACUGGUUGUUGGGAAUUAGUUUUCUCAGUACCGAAGCUAACGCGUGAAGUUGACCGCCUGGGGAGUACGUCCCCAAGGUUGAACCUCAAAGGAAUUGCCGGGGACCCGCACAACCGGUGGAUGAUGUGGUUUAAUUAGAUGCAACGCGAAAACCCUUCCCCCCUUUUGCCAUGUCCGGAAUCCUUUAGAGAUAGAGGAGUGCUUGAAAGAGAGCCGUAACCCAGGUCCUGCAUGGCUGUCGUCAGUUCGUGUCGUGAGAUGUUGGGUUAAGUCCCGCAACGAGCGCAACCCUUGCCAUUAGUUGCUACGAAAGGGCACUCUAAUGGGACUGCCGGUGACAACCCGGAGGAAGGUGGGGAUGACGUCAAGUCCUCAUGGCCCUUAUAGGUGGGGCUACACACGUCAUACAAUGGCUGGUACAAAGGGUUGCCAACCCGCGAGGGGGAGCUAAUCCCAUAAAGCCAGUCGUAGUCCGGAUCGCAGUUUGCAACUCGCCUGCGUGAAGUCGGAAUCGCUAGUAAUCGUGGAUCAGCAUGUCCCGGUGAAUACGUUCCCGGGUCUUGUACACACCGCCCGU